Garciella nitratireducens DSM 15102 is the source of this 1441-nucleotide non-coding RNA. NCBI's taxonomy places the organism in Bacteria, Bacillati, Bacillota, Clostridia, Eubacteriales, Eubacteriaceae. The record is from Rfam.
UAUAUGGGGUUUAGGAUAAGACAAAGAGAAGGGAGUAUUCUAGCAGAAUAAGGAUGGAAAGCCUAACCAUAGAGAGUAAAAGUCUCGUAAGCGAAAGAAGAAACCGGAAAGUCUUAAUCCAGAGUACCACGGGACACGAGAAACCCUGUGGGAAGAAGGGGGGACCACCCCCCAAGGCUAAAUACUACCUGGUGACCGAUAGAGGAAAGUACCGUGAGGGAAAGGUGAAAAGAACCCCGGGAGGGGAGUGAAAGAGAACCUGAAACCCUAUGCUUACAAGCAGUGGGAGCAAAGAAAGAUUGUGACCGCGUGCUUUUUGUAGAACGAACCAGCGAGUUACUGUCAGUAGCGAGGUUAAGCACUAAAGGUGUGAAGCCGAAGGGAAACCGAGUCUGAAGAGGGCGAUCAGUUGCAGGCAGUAGACCCGAAACCGAGUGACCUACCCAUGUCCAGGGUGAAACGGGAGUAAAAUCUCGCGGAGGCCCGAACCCGUGUCUGUUGAAAAAGGCUGGGAUGAGGUGUGGGUAGCGGAGAAAUUCCAAUCGAACUCGGAGAUAGCUGGUUCUCCCCGAAAUAGCUUUAGGGCUAGCGUUAACCAUGAGAGAUGGAGGUAGAGCACUGAAUAGGCUAGGGGGCGUAGAGCCUACCGAACCUUAUCAAACUGCGAAUGCCAUACUCUAAGAGGUUAGCAGUCAGACUAUGUGAGAUAAGUUUCAUAGUCGAGAGGGAAACAGCCCAGACCAUCAGCUAAGGUCCCAAAGUGUAAGUUAAGUGGGAAAGGAUGUAGAAAUGCAAAGACAACCAGGAUGUUGGCUUAGAAGCAGCCAUACAUUUAAAGAGUGCGUAAUAGCUCACUGGUCGAGUGAUUCUGCGCCGAAGAUGUCCGGGGCUAAAACUUACCACCGAAGCUAUGGAUCUACACCAAGAGAGUAAGAUGGUAGGGGAGCAUUCCAUACAGGUAGAAGCUAACCUGAAAGGGGAAGUGGACAGUAUGGAAGAGAGAAUGCUGGUAUGAGUAGCGAAAGUUAGGUGAGAAUCCUAACCAUCGAAAGCCAAAGGUUUCCUGAGGAAGGUUCGUCCGCUCAGGGUAAGUCGGGACCUAAGCCGAGGGCGAAAGCCGUAGGUGAUGGAUAACUGGUGGAAAAUCCAGUACCACCGAGAGGCGCAAAGAGAGAAGGAGUGACACAGGAGGAUAAGCUAACCAGGGGGAUGGAAAGCCCUGGCCAAGCAGUAAGGGAGAUAAGAUAGGCAAACCCGUCUUAUCAAAAAUCCUAAGCUGUGAAGGGGAUCGAAAAAAGAGUAGAGAAGUAGCUGAAUUCACACUGUCGAGAAAAACUUCUAUCAAGCCUUGAGGUGCCCGUACCGCAAACCGACACAGGUAGGCGAGGAGAGAAUCCUAAGAUGAGCGGGAGAAGUGUUGUUAAGGAACUCGGCAAAAUGG